This 241-nucleotide ribosomal RNA is filed under the name uncultured Streptococcus sp. RNAcentral's name for it is "partial 16S ribosomal RNA". It matches the Rfam family "Bacterial small subunit ribosomal RNA", at positions 1142 to 1382 of the family's 1533-position model. Lineage: Bacteria; Bacillati; Bacillota; Bacilli; Lactobacillales; Streptococcaceae. The record is from RNAcentral.
AGCGAGACUGCCGGUAAUAAACCGGAGGAAGUGGGGAUGACGUCAAAUCAUCAUGCCCCUUAUGACCUGGGCUACACACGUGCUACAAUGGUUGGUACGACGAGUUGCGAGUCGGUGACGGCGAGCUAAUCUCUUAAAGCCAAAUCUCGGUUCGGAUUGUAGGCUGCAACUCGCCUACAUGAAGUCGGAAUCGCUAGUAAUCGCGGAUCAGCACGCCGCGGUGAAUACGUUCCCGGGCCUU